This 3176-nucleotide long non-coding RNA is filed under the name Mytilus galloprovincialis (Mediterranean mussel). The record is from RNAcentral. Lineage: Eukaryota; Metazoa; Mollusca; Bivalvia; Mytilida; Mytilidae.
CAGAAAUCAUUUUAAACAACAAUUUAUUAUUUAUGCUAUGUAAAUUUAAUUUAAUGGUUUCUUGGAUACUGUCACCUAUCACAUGGAUAACAGAUUUUGCCUUCUUUUAUGAAUACCAACUAUCGACCUUCAAUUCCUUUUAUAUUAGGACUAUCAUCUAGUUAGAGAAACAAAUGAAGUAUACUUAUUAUGUUCUGUACACCAAUUUCAUGUAUAUAAAUGAUGGUUUACCCAGUUAAGGUCUGUUUGAACAUGUAUUUUCCAUCUGUUUUUCAUAAAAAACACCAAACUACUAUAUGUCAUGAAUGUGAUCUUCUGAUUUGUAAUCAUGUAAUAUGCUGAAAUAUGAAAUCAGAUGAAAGUGAAUGUAUUUUCAUUUAGUAAUAUGAAUUCUUUCAACCACAGAUAGUUUUUAUUUUGUUGAUGCAUUUAGCACACAAUUUCAAAAACUUAUUCACUUCAUAUGUUAUAGUCUAUCAGUGUAUAUAUUGUUUGUAUUUAAAGUACAUGAAGUAUGUAUGCAAAUAGGAUAAAGUUGUGCUUUAGAAAUAAGAGGUAUGAAUUUACCUACAAUCCUUGAUAUGAGUAUAAAGUAUUUAAACAAAAUUUACUAUAAAAACCAAAGAUCUUGUGAUUUGUUUUCUCUCUAAAUGAACAAUUUAAAGUUAUUCAUCUCCUGCAUAAAAGUAAGAUCAUGUUUCUUUUAGAAAUAAGAGUAUAAGUUAUUCUUAGCACUGUGCCUGAUUUGUCCCCAUAUGUGGCAACACAGAUUUGGAAACACUUAAAUGGAAAUUUUAUGAGGUUGAUUUUUUUGUGAGAUGUUUUAAGAAUCAUAUAGGUAUUUUAAAAUUAUAAUGUAGGUCCCAGACCACCACACAUUUUUCUAGAAAAACCCUAUUAAAAUUAAUACAAGGUUUGUAGAUAUUUUUGUGCAUUUUUUUUUAUCUAAGAAGAAGAGCAGUAGUCUCUGAUGUAAAUAUGUUUUUAUUCUGUUUUCCUUUUAUAUUUUUGUCCAAGUAUAUGUAAUUUUACAAUAGUGGGGAAAAGAAUUCUAGAUGCCUUCCGUUAAAAAGCAUGAGUGGCAUCGCUAAAAUAUGCAAAGUAUCUUGAACCUAAAUAUACAAAUUUGUAUCAACUGAAUUUUGUGUAGAGAGUCUAAACAGUAUGAGUAUUUUGUAUUUCGCAGACAUGUUAGUUUCAACAGAACUGUUUUAAGUUAUUCAUGUUAUUGCAAAACUGUCCUCGAUUUCCAUUAAAUCAGAGCCAUCAAUAAGUUAUAUUUCUGAAAAUUUUGAGCAGCAGGAUGUUUUGUAUUUUCAAGCUUAAUAUUUGUAUGAGUAAAUGAAUUUUGUUAUCACUUUUGUUAUAUUUGUAAGGGUCAUUCUAUUAUUUAUAGUUUUUGUUCAUGAUAAAAAAAACUUAAAUUUUAUGAUGUAUGAUUGAAAUGACUGAAAACUUUUUUUUGUGGUUGGCUUAUGUAAUUACAUGUAUACUGCUGGAAUGCAUUGUUAUAUUUUCUUUAAACUUUUUUGUUCACCUCUCCCUUUACCUCUCCUGGUUCAAAGAACUAUUUAAGCUGUUUUCUUCUCUUUGCAUUUGUUUUUAUAAGGUACAAAAUGAUUGACCAUGUCAAAGACCCAAGAACUUUUAACAACAUAAAAUUAAGAAUGGAAAUGGGGAAUGUGCCAAAGAGACAACAACCCGACCAUAGAAAAAAACAACAGCAGAAGGUCACCAACAGGUCUUCAAUGUAGCGAGAAAUUCCCGCACCCGGAGGCGUCCUUCAACUGGCCCCUAAACAAAUAUAUACUUGUUCAGUGAUAAUGAACGCCAUACUAAUUUCCAAAUUGUACACAAGAAACUGAAAUUAAAUAUUACAAGACUAACAAAGGCCAGAGGCUCCUGACUUGGGACAGGCGCAAUAAUGCGGCGGGGUUAAACAUGUUUGUGAGAUCUCAACCCUCCCCCUAUACCUCUAGCCAAUGUAGAAAAGUAAACACAUAACAAUACGCACAUUAAAUUCAGUUCAUAAGAAGUCCGAGUCUGACUUUUUAUGCCCCACCUAGGAUCAUUUUUAGGCCUGUGCGUCCAUCCUUUCAUAACUUUGUAGACAUUUUGUUAGAGCAUAAUAUAUAGAUGUGCAUAUCAACAGUAAAUUAUGAUACAAUGUUAUUUCUAGGAGUUAUGCCUCUUUGAACUUCGAAUUUUGGCCUAAGUAGCAGCAGCAGUUUGUCAUCACAAUUCCUUGGAAGCCACGCAACAUAAUUUCAUGAACUUGAUAUAGAUAAUAAGGACAUGAAUUAGAUAUGCAUAUCCACAAGUUGACAUUUUUAGGAGUUAUUAGUCUUUAGACUAAGGAAUCAAGAGAUUUUGUUCGCCCAUUGACAUUGUGCAAGUGGGGCAUCCGUGUACUAUGGACACAUUCUUGUUUAAGAAAUAUUUAAAAUGGAGGUAUUUUCUGUUGUCCAUAAUUGUAAUUGAACCAAAAAUUGUAUUACCUUUCAAUACUUCAUACGAUGCAACAGAGCUUUAGUUUUCUCUGCAAAAUGAAUGCAAUUUGUUAUUAAAAAUAAAAUUAACGGUACCAAUUUUCUUGCACCAGAUGUGCAUUUCGACAAUACCUGUCUCUUCAGUGAUGCUCGUGGCCAAAAUAUUUAAAAUCCAAAGCUAAUAUAAAAGAUGAAGAGCUAAAAUCAAGAAGGUCUAAAAAGUUAUAGCCAAAUCACAAACUCACAAGUACAUUGAUUUAAUACUGCUUUUGCUGUUUAAGUUAAAUCUACAUCAGAAGGGGGGAACAUGCAUUUGAUUUUAGUUUGUUGAAAAUUUCCAUUGAUUAGGGGGUAGGGGUCUCUGGUAUUUUAGCAUAAAACCAUUUCUGUAUUUAUAUACAUCAAAGUAUAGUUAUGUAAAGUUCAUGUGAACCAGGUCAGUGGUUAUGAGAGAGUUUUUCUUUGUUAGUUCUAGUCUGGUUUAUAUAUUCAUAUUUUUGAAAUAGCAUGAUUUAUCUAUCAUUUGUAUGUUAGUUCAUAUAAAACAUUGAUAAUAAACGAUUAUUGUAUAUUUCUGUGUUGCCAUGUUUCAAUCAUAUUCCUUCUGUGUGAUUGUAUUGCCUUGAUCCAGUAAGGAGACUAAAUCCUAGUGUUUAUUGUGAUUCUUGUAAAACUGAGCUUUUUAGU